Molecule: ribosomal RNA, 253 nt
Filed under: uncultured bacterium
Lineage: Bacteria
Description: partial 16S ribosomal RNA
Rfam family: Bacterial small subunit ribosomal RNA
Source: RNAcentral
GACGAAGGGGGCUAGCGUUAAUCGGAAUUACUGGGCGUAAAGCGUGCGCAGGCGGUUGUGCAAGACAGAUGUGAAAUCCCCGGGCUCAACCUGGGAAUUGCAUUUGUGACUGUACGGCUAGAGUGUGUCAGAGGGGGGUAGAAUUCCACGUGUAGCAGUGAAAUGCGUAGAGAUGUGGAGGAAUACCGAUGGCGAAGGCAGCCCCCUGGGAUAACACUGACGCUCAUGCACGAAAGCGUGGGGAGCAAACAGG